Non-coding RNA from Coturnix japonica (Japanese quail), 2740 nucleotides. The record is from RefSeq and is a predicted model, not a curated record. NCBI's taxonomy places the organism in Eukaryota, Metazoa, Chordata, Aves, Galliformes, Phasianidae.
AGAAGAGACUUCAGUGCUUUUAUGUAAAAAGAGAAAUGAACUGAAAAGCAAGAAAUCCAUGGGUAAGAACAUGGAAGUAUGUUAAGUAUUUGAGAAGAAUCACUGAAGAGAUUGAUGUGCAGUAUGCUACAGGGGUUUAUUAGAUGUACGUAAUACUAGGCUAAUCUGAUUUAUUUUUUGUGGGCUUUUUUCUAUACAAAGUAAACACAUCUGCUCUUAUCUAGCCAGACUUCAGUAAAUUAUUUCAGAUGUGAUGCUGUGUUCAUUACUAGUUCUAUGUAGAUAGAUCAGUAUUGUGUAGAUCUGUAGAAAACACAAAAUUGUAUAGAAUGUGGCUCAAUGGUCAGGAAAUGGGGUAGUGUUGGAACAAGAAUCAUUGGGUAGUAGAACUGGUGUUUCUCCUCAAAAAUUAAUCUUAAGAGUGAUUUAAUAAUUUUUUUCUUUUUAAUGAUCCUAGUCCUGGAACAGAAAGAGCUGAUGACACAAACACAAAAGUCAGUGAAGAGUCAGAAGAAUCUGCGGAUGAAGUUGGAGGACAGACAAUGAUUUUGGACACAUCAGGACUUAACUGUGUUGUGAGCAGGCCUCAGCUGUGCAGGUCUUGGAAUGCCAAGAGCAACUGGAAGGACUUGUACUGCAGUGCUGCAAGACUUGGCUGGGUGCUUGCCUUGGUGAAAAACAGCAAUGGUGGCCCUGAAGCAGACAAGGCCUAAGCAUGAGUGUUUCUGAUGCUAUGGAUAUUUUUUUGUGAAUGCACCAAUUAGCUCAUCUGUGGCUAACAUAAGGGUUUGUGAGGGAAUGUUCCCAUGUGUAGUAAACACCACAAAUGCUGGAUUGGAAAUGUCAGCCUCUUUAAAAUACAAACAGGACAGGAUUCUCAGAUUAAAGGGCAUUUACUGGCCUGCCACUUAAAAGGGAGAGAAGAAAGUACCUGUAAGUAGCUACAAAAAGGUGCAAAUGGGCUGAGCGGGAGUGGGAGCAUAACAGUUUUAACAGAUAAAAUUUCAUAGCUUCUGAUCAAUUUGUGUCAAAGAAUAUACUUUCUCUCAUUUUAAUAUGAACACUAAGAUAUUGUAGAACUGGUGAAUUAUCACAUUUAAGGAGCAGUCUUAUUUUUUCCAUCAAGUGGGGAAAAAAUGAGAACAUAGAGGUAGCUUACUUGGUACAGCAGCAGCUUCAGUACUGCAACUCAUGCCACUGAGUUUAGCUUGCCCGUAAUUUGGGAGGAAUAGGGCAGUUCACUAGAUUCUUUUCUUCAAGACAGGAAUUCUGCAGAGGAAAAUCACAGAAUCACAGAACUGUAGGGGUUGGAAGGGACCUCCAGAGAUCAUUGAGUCCAACUUCCCUGCCAAAGCAGGCUCCUUAAAUGAGGUUGCACAGGGCAUUAUUUUAUGCUGUCUCCUCUUUCCACCAUGAAAAGAUUGUCUUUAGAGAAAUAUUUAUCUUUGAUCAUUGUAAAAUAUUUCUAAACUAGUGAUAUGGUAGAGUGAGACUCUGACCUGAACACAGAAUCACAGUUUAUAUCCUAAAUCACCCAUUUAGAGACUUUUGAGAGAUAAAUAAUUAUAGGUGUUAGCUACCUAAAACUUUGGGAUCUGAGUUUCAGUUCUUUUCAUCAGUGCACUGACUCUUUAUAGUUUUCUAGUUUAUUAAGAAAUACAAGCCUUACAAUACAUUUUAGAAAACUACUUUGUUGCUUAAGUAGUAGAUUAGAACAACACUGAAGAGCCAUGCUGUUCUAUUGCGUAUAGAAAAGCAUUCGUGAACCUAUAUAAAACCAGAGGAUGAUCUACUUUGGUACAUACAACAUAUGGCAUUGAACUACUACAUUUGAACUGUUACAGCUAUGUUACUGAGUUCCUGAAAUUGUUUCCACCUUGUGGCAAAUGAGGAACAUACAAGAUUCCAAACAUCGCUCAAUGCCAGAUUCAGUUAUGUCUUCUGUGAAAUGUGUCCCUCUUACUCAUCGAUUGUGCUUUACACUUCCAUUUGUACUAGUGAAUACAUGAGCCUUGUUUGGUAGACUCUUGCAUAGAUGAACCAAGAAAAUAUUGUUUACAUUAAGAAUGAUCAAAGUAAACUGACCAAUCACAUCUGUGGUUGCUAAGUCUUUUCACGAAUCCAGUUGAACCCAUUCAAUACCUUUUGAGCUGAAGUGUGGGUUUGGAUGUUUGUUUUCUGUAGUUCUUGUUCUCUUUUGUGCUUUUUAAAUCAUUAUUUAUUUUUUUUUAAGUGGACCAGAAUAGAUAAAUGUUGAUGUUUCUUCCUCCUGUCUUUUUGGAAGAUAGCUGUAAUAUUUGCUUCCCCUCCCUCCAGUAACUGGAGACCUUUUUCAACUGCCACAACUCCUCAAAAAUGACAGUGACCUUGCCAGCACUUGCUUCUUCAGGACUCUUACGUUCAUUAGUAACAAAGCAAUGAGAAGAAUACCUGUCAGAUUUUGGCUGCCUCUAAGCUUCCUAAACACAUGGGAGCAAGAGAAUGUUCUAUCAGCGGUGCUCGUUCCACAACUGUGAUGUAAAUAAAUCCCAGGUGUUGUGAUGUUACAUAUUUGACCACACAGCAGCUAACACUUUCCUGUGAUGUGCAUCUUCAUAUUUGUAGGAGCUUCCUACCUAUAAGAGGUAAGGACAUUCUGUGUUCAUUUCAGAUACAACAUUUUUACAGAGGAAAUGUACUUGCUGUUCCUUUUCAUAAGAAUGUUAUGCCUGUUUUCUUAUUUUUUAUAAAUUUCUUUUAU